RNAcentral lists this ribosomal RNA (497 nucleotides) under uncultured bacterium. Its description in RNAcentral is "partial 16S ribosomal RNA". It matches the Rfam family "Bacterial small subunit ribosomal RNA", at positions 28 to 507 of the family's 1533-position model. The record is from RNAcentral.
GAUGAACGCUGGCGGCGUGCCUAAUACAUGCAAGUAGAACGCUGAAGCUUGGUGCUUGCCCCGAGCGGAUGAGUUGCGAACGGGUGAGUAACGCGUAGGUAACCUGCCUGGUAGCGGGGGAUAACUAUUGGAAACGAUAGCUAAUACCGCAUGACAACAGUUAUUGCAUGAUAACUGUUUAAAAGGGGCAAUUGCUCCACUACCAGAUGGACCUGCGUUGUAUUAGCUAGUUGGUGAGGUAACGGCUCACCAAGGCGACGAUACAUAGCCGACCUGAGAGGGUGAUCGGCCACACUGGGACUGAGACACGGCCCAGACUCCUACGGGAGGCAGCAGUAGGGAAUCUUCGGCAAUGGACGGAAGUCUGACCGAGCAACGCCGCGUGAGUGAAGAAGGUUUUCGGAUCGUAAAGCUCUGUUGUAAGAGAAGAACGAGUGUGAGAGUGGAAAGUUCACACUGUGACGGUAUCUUACCAGAAAGAGACGGCUAACUACGUG